AACGAACGCUGGCGGCAGGCUUAACACAUGCAAGUCGAACGAGACCUUCGGGUCUAGUGGCAGACGGGUGAGGAACACGUGGGAACAUCCCUUUCAGUUCGGAAUAACGUUGGGAAACUAACGCUAAUACCGGAUACGUCCUUCGGGAGAAAGAUUUAUCGCUGAAAGAUUGGCCCGCGUCUGAUUAGCUAGUUGGUGAGGUAAUGGCUCACCAAGGCUACGAUCAGUAGCUGAUCUGAGAGGAUGAUCAGCCACAUUGGGACUGAGACACGGCCCAAACUCCUACGGGAGGCAGCAGUGGGGAAUAUUGGACAAUGGGCGCAAGCCUGAUCCAGCCAUGCCGCGUGAGUGAUGAAGGCCUUCGGGUUGUAAAGCUCUUUUGUCCGGGAAGAUAAUGACUGUACCGGAAGAAUAAGCCCCGGCAAACUUCGUGCCAGCCGCCGCUGUAA
Molecule: ribosomal RNA, 449 nt
Filed under: uncultured bacterium
Lineage: Bacteria
Description: partial 16S ribosomal RNA
Rfam family: Bacterial small subunit ribosomal RNA
Source: RNAcentral